CAUAAUCUCUGAGGAGAAAAGCAGGGGAUCGCAAGACCUUGCGCUUUUGGAGCGGCCGAUGUCUGAUUAGCUAGUUGGUGAGGUAAAGGCUUACCAAGGCUUCGAUCAGUAGCUGGUCUGAGAGGACGACCAGCCACACUGGGACUGAGACACGGCCCAGACUCCUACGGGAGGCAGCAGUGGGGAAUUUUGGACAAUGGGGCAACCCUGAUCCAGCCAUGCCGCGUGAGUGAAGAAGGCCUUCGGGUUGUAAAGCUCUUUCAGCCGGAACGAAACGGUCACGGUUAAUAACUGUGAUCACUGACGGUACCGGAAGAAGAAG
Molecule: ribosomal RNA, 322 nt
Filed under: uncultured beta proteobacterium
Lineage: Bacteria; Pseudomonadati; Pseudomonadota; Betaproteobacteria
Description: bacterial SSU rRNA
Rfam family: Bacterial small subunit ribosomal RNA
Source: RNAcentral